Molecule: long non-coding RNA, 855 nt
Organism: Harmonia axyridis
Lineage: Eukaryota; Metazoa; Arthropoda; Insecta; Coleoptera; Coccinellidae
Exons: 3
Source: RefSeq, a predicted model, not a curated record
UUUCGUUUCGAAUAAUUUGAGAGACAAAAUUCGUUUUGACUUUUGAAAAAUUCAAAUUAACCAGUUCAGAUUAUAUUUGCAUGUACUAGAUCUGAGUAUAUUAUAACGAAAUAUACUAAAACACGAGUUCUUCCCUACUGCAUCUUCGUCAACAUGAUUCGACUCGUUUGAUAUGCCGCGCCAAUGAAAACGUUUUUAUCCACCUGUUGGCAGUGUUUAUCGUAAUAUAAGUAUAUAAAUGCUUUCAUCCACUAGAUUCAAGAAUAUUAUUCGAAGAUAUACUAAAAUGCUCCCUCUGUGCAGUUUGCAAUAGAAAAUAUCACUUUCGAUCCCCUUCGGCCCUUCAGUCUCAUAUAGGUCAUAGGACUGAUAGGUCUACGAAAGUUUUGAUUGUGUAUUAGUGAAUAGUGACUGAAUACCUACUGCAAGAAGCAUAACUUAAUGAGGAAUAAGGGAUACAUGGAGUGUCUGAUUGGAAUAUUUCAAGAAUAUGGAAAAUUGUCCUGAUUAAAAUCAAAAUAUCAGCUGCAGUUCAUGAACAAUUGGGAGUACGUUAUUAUUUGCUGAUGAAAAUGCAAAUCAAUGGAUCUAUCGAUAUGAGUGGGAGACAAUUUUGGAAUAAUUGUUCAGGACCAGAUCUCAAGUGACAUUGGACAAAUCAUUCAAGAACAGAAACAAAAAGCAACAUAGACGAACCAAACCGUCCAGCCCAACUUGUUAUUGGUAACAGGGGAAUAUCUAUUAUAGUCGAAAGGUUCCAAAAUUGUAGAUGUAGAUGAACUUUCAAAAAUGUAUCUCUCCACAUAAAUAAUUUAUUCUUUAGGAGAUAACUAUGUUCCUUUGUAGUACAAUGUU